GACAUCUGGAAUGCAGAACUUUCAAGAACAACACCCACUAGGGCUAGAGAGAAUCUACCUCUGGCAUAGGUACAGAGGAAGUAGCCUGGUGAGGAAAGCCUUUACCCAGGUACCUCUUUCUUUAACUGCCCAGGAACACGUGCCACAAAAUGACGGUGGCCCUGUCAGCUGUGGGCAGUCCAGAGAGGGAACAGCCUCGAGUGGGAAGCAGGGCCUGUGGGACAAGAGUCAGCCUCACUUCCUACCAGGAAAAACUCAAAGUGGGAGAAAGAGCCAUGUAAAGCUGUGCAAUCAUCCCCAACGUCUCAUCUGGGCUUUUUGGCUUUAGGACAAAGGUCAGACAAGACUUCACUGCCCUUACUCUGCUGGCCCCAAGACAGAAGUCACACAGGAUCUCCUCCUCCCCCUCAUCACCAGGAGCCCCGACUUCUGCGGGAUCGCAGCCCUGGCCCUGGGUUUCCUCUCCUGGCUUCCCCACAGAGUCCACAUCCUCUUCUUCUACUGGGAUAGCUGGCCCAGGUUCUGGGUCCAGAGGAGCCGAAGGACGAACGGUGAUCCCAGUCAGUGGCCCUGGGGCAAUCAGAUCCAGUUCAGCCAUCUGGAGGCUCUGCGGACUAAGGCGUCCUUCCUCUGCCCCUUGGCUCGGGAUCUGUGUAGCCCAAGUCAGACCAAAGAGCCACGCCUAGCUGAUUGCAGCUGCCCUGAGACGUUAACUGUUUCCUUCCUCCCGAGGAAGCUCAGUUACUCAGACAGGACUGGGUUCCUCUGAAUCGGAGGAGGAGCCAGCCCCAGUGACAAGACAAAUGGCACUCAAGCUCAGGACUGCCCUUUGUCUCUGAAGUCUCUUCACUGGCUCAGACUUCUUCCUAUUCCCAGUCCAGCCCAGAAACUUCUAUUCAUUUGGAACUCGUUUGUCUCGCCUCCCAUAGGCUCUGAGGGAGACCACAUGAGCCUCUGGGUCUGGAAAACAGCAAGAUUCCUGAGCUCUAUUGUAAGCCUGUGUGGCUUGGAGUGUUCCCACAAGCCAUAUGUUUGUUUUGUAUGUUUUAAAGGGAUCCAAAAUACAAGGACUUUAACAUUAGAUCAGCUACUUACCCUAAAUGAGACACCAGCUUGGUUCCCCCCACCACUGCAAAAACUAUGACCUAAAUAAAUAAAUACCAUCUAGCUUCA
This is a long non-coding RNA of Mesocricetus auratus (golden hamster), 1173 nucleotides long. RefSeq lists it as uncharacterized. The record is from RefSeq and is a predicted model, not a curated record. Lineage: Eukaryota; Metazoa; Chordata; Mammalia; Rodentia; Cricetidae. The transcript has 2 exons.